RNAcentral lists this ribosomal RNA (951 nucleotides) under uncultured Neocallimastigales. Its description in RNAcentral is "partial large subunit ribosomal RNA". The stretch from base 168 to 951 matches the Rfam family "Eukaryotic large subunit ribosomal RNA", at positions 1 to 644 of the family's 3401-position model. The record is from RNAcentral. Lineage: Eukaryota; Fungi; Neocallimastigomycota; Neocallimastigomycetes; Neocallimastigales.
AUGUGAUCGUCUCUCGCAUAUCAAUAAGCGGAGGAAAAGUCAACUACCUACGCUUAGGAUGUUGACGAGACUGUCGAUCUCAUCUAUACAUGACUCUGUGCAUAUCAAUAAGCGGAGGAAAAGAGGGCUAUUACCUACGCUUAGGAUGUUGAAGUCAUCGUAUCGCGCAUGCUCGAUCUAUACAUGACUCUGUGCAUAUCAAUAAGCGGAGGAAAAGAAACUAACAAGGAUUCCCCUAGUAACGGCGAGUGAAGCGGGAAGAGCUCAAAUUUGAAAUCUUAAAGGGUUUCCCUUUACGAAUUGUAGUUUAAAGAAGUGUUUUCUGUUGAGGUUUUGGUAAAAGUUCUUUGGAAUAGGACAUCAUAGAGGGUGAGAAUCCCGUAUUUGACCUUUACAUUCAACUUUGUGAUACACUUUCAAAGAGUCGGAUUGUUUGGGAAUGCAGUCCAAAAUGGGUGGUAAAUUUCAUCUAAAGCUAAAUAUUGGCGAGAGACCGAUAGCGAACAAGUACCGUGAGGGAAAGAUGAAAAGAACUUUGAAAAGAGAGUUAAACAGUACGUGAAAUUGUCAAAAGGGAAGCGUUUGACACCAGUGUUGUUUUUCUGAAAAUCAAUUAAAGAACUGUUUAUGCUAAGUUGUUUAGACUUUAUCAGCUAACUGUUUAGUUUUGAGCUUUUCUUUAAUGCACUUUUCAGUUAACAAGUCAACAUCAAUUUCUUUUGCUGUAAAAAAGCUUGAGGAAGGUGGCUUGAGAUUCGUCUUAGGUGUUUAUAGCCUCUUGCCUAUGCAGUCGGAGAGAUUGAGGUCUGCAGCGUAGAUCCUUCGGGGCUAAAUGCAUUUGUGCUAAGUUAUAGCAUUUUAUAGACAACUUGUUGACUAUGAUUUGUCUUGUAGCUUACUCGCUUAUGUUAUUUUACCUACGCUUAGGAUGUUGAAGAUAUGCGCGACACG